RNAcentral lists this long non-coding RNA (516 nucleotides) under Daucus carota (carrot). Its description in RNAcentral is "long non-coding RNA (DCAR_LNC001844)". The record is from RNAcentral. Lineage: Eukaryota; Viridiplantae; Streptophyta; Magnoliopsida; Apiales; Apiaceae.
GAUGGGAGGUUCAUUUGAGUUGGGUCCUAGCACGAGUAUGGGCCAGGCGUUCGGGCUUGGCAUGGCUCUAAGUUGUGGACUUGGGGCUUGAGAUGAAGUUGGGCACUUGCAUACAGUUGAACAGUCUAAGCAUGGGGCAGAGCAACAGAGACCGAGUUUGGGUUCAUGAGUUCUAGUGGCACACUUGGCUUAUGGGAGUCAGGCAGCAUGGCGCAAGGGUGAGAGAGGCAGGUUUGGGUGUGACUUGAACAAGGGCACGACCGACUCAAGGGAGAGUCAACAUCUACCACGAGUCCUCCAUGACACAGAGGCGACAUGGGUGAAGAGUUCCUAUUGGGUCAGAGAUAGUGGGCUUUCCUGGAUAAUGGAUCGUGAUGGGCUUGGGUCAGAGUUAAAGCCCAUGGNGGGUGAGAGAGGCAGGUUUGGGUGUGACUUGAACAAGGGCACGGCCGGCUCAAGGGAGAGUCAACAUCCACCACGAGUCCUCCAUGACACAGAGGCGACAUGGGUGAAGAG